This 288-nucleotide long non-coding RNA is filed under the name Brassica napus (rape). RNAcentral's name for it is "long non-coding RNA (BNAP_LNC001313)". Lineage: Eukaryota; Viridiplantae; Streptophyta; Magnoliopsida; Brassicales; Brassicaceae. The record is from RNAcentral.
CGUAAGGUAUGUCAGCAGAAGUCCAACUAAUCUCCCAGAACAGUCUCUAAAAUCCUUAAUAAAACUCAAGACAUGAUUUCAUUAUUGUUUUCGAUGGGAAUCUAACUCAAAAUCAACCGUUUUCAAGUCAACUCUUACCGCCAAGCUACCACGGCUUUGGUUAAAUGGUAUGAGCGUUCAAGAUUGUAUUAUUUGGAAGCUGCAAAAGAACACUGCCAAAAGACCUUUACGUGACUAGUAAUUUACCAAUUAAUUAAUUUAUGUGAAUCUGUCUGCCUAAAUAAUUUA